UUCCGGUUGAUCCCGCCGGAAGCCACCGCUAUUGGAAUCCGCUUAAUCCAUGCCAGUCGAGAGGGUUCGGCCCUCGGCGCACUGCUCAGUAACACGUGGACAAUCUACCCUGGGGGGGGGGAUAACCUCGCAAACGUGAAAAAAAUACCCCAUAAACCGAGUUCGCUGGAACCCUUCUCGGUUCAAAGCUCCGGCCCCCCAGGAUGAUUUUGCGGCCUAUCAGGUUGUAGUGGGUGUAAAGUACCUACUACCCUACGACGGGUACGGGCCUUGGGAGAGGUCGCCCGGAUUUGGAUUCUGAAACACAAAUCCAGGCCCUACGGGGCGCAGCAGGAGCGAAAACUCCCCCCUGCGGGAAACCGCGAUGGGGGGAAUCCAAGUGCAUGCACAUAGGGUAUGCUUUUCUUGAGUGUAUAAAGCUUGAGGAAUAAGGGCUGGGUAAAACCGGUGCCAGCCGCCGCGGUAAUACCGGCAGCCCAGGUGGGGGUCACUAUUAUUGGGCCUAAAGCGUCCGUACCCUGCUCGGUAAAUCCCUGGGUAAAUCAUCCAGCUCAACUGUAUGACUUCCGGGGCGACUGCCGAGCUUGGGACUGGAAGAGGCAAGAGGUACUCAUGGGGUAGGGGUAAAAUCCAGUAUUCCUAUGGGGACCACCAGUGGCGAAGGCGUCUUGCUUGAACGGCUCCGACGGUAAGGGACGAACCCCAGGGGCACAAACCGGAUUAGAUACCCGGGUAGUCCUGGGGUGUAAACGCUGCGAACUUGGUGUUGGGGGUCCUGCUAGGGCGCUCAGUGCAGGAUAGAAGUUGUUACUCCCCCCGCCUGGGGGAGUACGGCGCAAGGGCUGAAACUUAAAGGAAUUGGCGGGGGGAGCACCGCACCGGGUGGAGCGUGCGGUUAAUUGGAUUUCAACGCCGGG
Molecule: ribosomal RNA, 917 nt
Filed under: uncultured archaeon
Lineage: Archaea
Description: partial 16S ribosomal RNA
Rfam family: Archaeal small subunit ribosomal RNA
Source: RNAcentral